UAACCCCUUAACCCCUAAUUUAUACCCAAACACUAUUCUUAAGGGGUGGGGUUUACUAACCCCACCCCAAACCGGGUUAGUGGGGUUUACUAACCCCACUCCCCCUCCCAACUUUAACCCCGCACGCAUCCCGAGCCCUCACCUUUUUCUUCUUUAUCAAUCAUUAACCCCAUUCCCCCUCCCAACUUUAACCCCGCACGCAUCCCGAGCCCUCACCUUUUUCUUCUUUAUCAAUCAUUAACCCCACUCCCCCUCCCAACUUUAACCCCGCACGCAUCCCGAGCCCUCACUUUUUUCUUCUUUAUCAAUUGUUAUUUUCUUAUCCCACCUACUCCAACCAAACACUUUUUUUCACUAUUUUAGACUAACUCCAACCUCCAACCAAACACUAUGGGUUUCAUAACUUGUUUUUUGUUCCUUCUACGAAAACUCCAAU
Molecule: long non-coding RNA, 436 nt
Filed under: Ananas comosus (pineapple)
Lineage: Eukaryota; Viridiplantae; Streptophyta; Magnoliopsida; Poales; Bromeliaceae
Description: long non-coding RNA (ACOM_LNC028001)
Source: RNAcentral